UCUGGGAUUAGAUACCCUGUUAUAAAAAUGUAAAUAUAUAAACUUGAGUAGUAAUAGUUAUGUUCUAAAAACUUAAUAAAUUUGGCGGUAUUUUAUUAUAAUCAGAGGAAUUUGUUUUUUAAUUGAUAAUCCUCAUUAAAUCUUACUUAAUUUUUAAUAUUUGUAUAUCGUCGUCAUAAGAAUAUCUUAAAAAAGUAAUAAUUUUCUAAAAUAAAAAUUAUUAAUAAUGUCAGAUCAAGGUGCAGUUUAUAAUUAAGAAAAAAUUAAUUACAAUAAAAUUAUUUAUAAUGAAUAUGAUUUUUAAAUAAAUUAUUAAAGGUGGAUUUGAAUGUAAUAUAAUAAAUUAUAAUUAUUUGAUUAUAUAUUUUAAAAUGUGUACAAAUCGCCCGUCCACUC
This 396-nucleotide ribosomal RNA is filed under the name Insulatricha hippai. Its description in RNAcentral is "partial 12S ribosomal RNA". Lineage: Eukaryota; Metazoa; Arthropoda; Insecta; Diptera; Rangomaramidae. The record is from RNAcentral.